AGUGAACGCUGGCGGUAGGCCUAACACAUGCAAGUCGAACGGCAGCACAGUAAGAGCUUGCUCUUACGGGUGGCGAGUGGCGGACGGGUGAGGAAUACAUCGGAAUCUACUUUUUCGUGGGGGAUAACGUAGGGAAACUUACGCUAAUACCGCAUACGACCUACGGGUGAAAGCAGGGGAUCUUCGGACCUUGCGCGAUUGAAUGAGCCGAUGUCGGGUUAGCUAGUUGGCGGGGUAAAGGCCCACCAAGGUGACGAUCCGUAUCUGGUCUGAGAGGAUGUCCGCCGUCUCUGGAACUGAGACACGGUCCGGACUCCUACGGGAGGCAGCAGUGGGGAAUAUUGGACAAGGGGCGCAAGCCUGAUCCAGCCAUACCGCGUGGGUGAAGAAGGCCUUCGGGUUGUAAAGCCCUUUUGUUGGGAAAGAAAAGCAGCAGGUUAAUACCCCGCUGUUCUGACGGUACCCAAAGAAUAAGCACCGGCUAACUUCGUG
This 492-nucleotide ribosomal RNA is filed under the name uncultured bacterium. RNAcentral describes it as "partial 16S ribosomal RNA". It matches the Rfam family "Bacterial small subunit ribosomal RNA", at positions 29 to 507 of the family's 1533-position model. The record is from RNAcentral.